UACGUAGGGUGCAAGCGUUGUCCGGAAUUAUUGGGCGUAAAGCGCGCGUAGGCGGCUUUGCAAGUCGGGUGUGAAAUCCCUCGGCUUAACCGGGGAACUGCGUCUGAUACUGGAUGGCUUGAGUUUGGGAGAGGGAUGCGGAAUUCCAGGUGUAGCGGUGAAAUGCGUAGAUAUCUGGAGGAACACCGGUGGCGAAGGCGGCAUCCUGGACCAACACUGACGCUGAGUGAGCGAAAGCCAGGGGAGCAAACGGG
This 254-nucleotide ribosomal RNA is filed under the name uncultured bacterium. RNAcentral's name for it is "partial 16S ribosomal RNA". It matches the Rfam family "Bacterial small subunit ribosomal RNA", at positions 524 to 776 of the family's 1533-position model. The record is from RNAcentral.